CCUACGGGAGGCAGCAGUGGGGAAUAUUGCACAAUGGGCGGAAGCCUGAUGCAGCGACGCCGCGUGAGGGAUGAAGGCCUUCGGGUUGUAAACCUCUUUCAGCAGGGACGAAGCGUGAGUGACGGUACCUGCAGAAGAAGCACCGGCUAACUACGUGCCAGCAGCCGCGGUAAUACGUAGGGUGCGAGCGUUGUCCGGAAUUACUGGGCGUAAAGAGUUCGUAGGCGGUUUGUCGCGUCGUUUGUGAAAACCCGGGGCUCAACUUCGGGCUUGCAGGCGAUACGGGCAGACUUGAGUGUUUCAGGGGAGACUGGAAUUCCUGGUGUAGCGGUGAAAUGCGCAGAUAUCAGGAGGAACACCGGUGGCGAAGGCGGGUCUCUGGGAAACAACUGACGCUGAGGAACGAAAGCGUGGGUAGCAAACAGGAUUAGAUACCCUGGUAGUCCACGCCGUAAACGGUGGCGCUAGGUGUGGGUUCCUUCCACGGGAUCUGUGCCGUAGCUAACGCAUUAAGCGCCCGCUCGGAGUACGCGCGAGACAACUACAAGAAGUAGACGCGNGAGACGNGCGAGACGACGACGAGGAGAG
RNAcentral lists this ribosomal RNA (588 nucleotides) under uncultured bacterium. RNAcentral's name for it is "bacterial SSU rRNA". The stretch from base 1 to 522 matches the Rfam family "Bacterial small subunit ribosomal RNA", at positions 338 to 873 of the family's 1533-position model. The record is from RNAcentral.